CACGUAGGGCGCAAGCGUUGUCCGGAAUUAUUGGGCGUAAAGAGCUCGUAGGCGGUCUGUUACGUCUGCUGUGAAAAUCCAGGGCUUAACCCUGGGCUUGCAGUGGAUACGGGCAGACUAGAGGCAGGUAGGGGAGAAUGGAAUUCCCGGUGUAGCGGUGAAAUGCGCAGAUAUCGGGAGGAACACCGGUGGCGAAGGCGGUUCUCUGGGCCUGACCUGACGCUGAGGAGCGAAAGCGUGGGGAGCGAACAGG
This 253-nucleotide ribosomal RNA is filed under the name uncultured bacterium. Its description in RNAcentral is "partial 16S ribosomal RNA". It matches the Rfam family "Bacterial small subunit ribosomal RNA", at positions 524 to 776 of the family's 1533-position model. The record is from RNAcentral.